RNAcentral lists this ribosomal RNA (553 nucleotides) under uncultured bacterium. RNAcentral's name for it is "partial 16S ribosomal RNA". It matches the Rfam family "Bacterial small subunit ribosomal RNA", at positions 356 to 900 of the family's 1533-position model. The record is from RNAcentral.
AGGGAAUCUUCCACAAUGGACGCAAGUCUGAUGGAGCAACGCCGCGUGAGUGAAGAAGGCUUUCGGGUCGUAAAACUCUGUUAUUGAAGAAGAACGUGUGUGACAGUAACUGGUCAUGCAGUGACGGUAUUCAAUCAGAAAGUCACGGCUAACUACGUGCCAGCAGCCGCGGUAAUACGUAGGUGGCAAGCGUUGUCCGGAUUUAUUGGGCGUAAAGCGAGUGCAGGCGGUCUUUUAAGUCUGAUGUGAAAGCCUUCGGCUUAACCGAAGAAGGGCAUCGGAAACUGGGAGACUUGAGUGCAGAAGAGGAGAGUGGAACUCCAUGUGUAGCGGUGAAAUGCGUAGAUAUAUGGAAGAACACCAGUGGCGAAGGCGGCUCUCUGGUCUGUAACUGACGCUGAGGCUCGAAAGCGUGGGUAGCAAACAGGAUUAGAUACCCUGGUAGUUCACGCCGUAAACGAUGAAUACUAAGUGUUGGAGGGUUUCCGCCCUUCAGUGCUGCAGCUAACGCAUUAAGUAUUCCGCCUGGGGAGUACGACCGCAAGGUUGAAAC